RNAcentral lists this ribosomal RNA (256 nucleotides) under uncultured bacterium. Its description in RNAcentral is "partial 16S ribosomal RNA". It matches the Rfam family "Bacterial small subunit ribosomal RNA", at positions 524 to 776 of the family's 1533-position model. The record is from RNAcentral.
GACGUAGGGGGCGAACGUUAUCCGGAAUUAUUGGGCGUAAAGGGUGCGUAGGCGGCAUGAUAAGUUAUUGGCGGGAAAUCGAGGCUCAACCUCGUGGAAACUAAUAAUACUGUUUUGCUUGAGUACAGGAGAGGUUAACGGAACUCCAUGUGGAGCGGUAAAAUGUGUAGAUAUAUGGAAGAACAUCAAUAACGGCGAAGGCAGUUAACUAUUCUGUUACUGACGUUGAGGCACGAAAGCGUGGGGAGCAAAACGG